GACGAACGCUGGCGGCGUGCCUAAUACAUGCAAGUUGAGCGAUGAAGAUUGGUGCUUGCACCAAUUUGAAGAGCAGCGAACGGGUGAGUAACGCGUGGGGAAUCUGCCUUUGAGCGGGGGACAACAUUUGGAAACGAAUGCUAAUACCGCAUAACAACUUUAAACAUAAGUUUUAAGUUUGAAAGAUGCAAUUGCAUCACUCAAAGAUGAUCCCGCGUUGUAUUAGCUAGUUGGUGAGGUAAAGGCUCACCAAGGCGAUGAUACAUAGCCGACCUGAGAGGGUGAUCGGCCACACUGGGACUGAGACACGGCCCAAACGCCUACGGGAGGCAGCAGUAGGGAAUCUUCGGCAAUGGACGAAAGUCUGACCGAGCAACGCCGCGUGAGUGAAGAAGGUUUUCGGAUCGUAAAACUCUGUUGGUAGAGAAGAACGUUGGUGAGAGUGGAAAGCUCAUCAAGUGACGGUAACUACCCAGAAAGGGACGGCUAACUACGUG
This 497-nucleotide ribosomal RNA is filed under the name uncultured bacterium. RNAcentral's name for it is "partial 16S ribosomal RNA". It matches the Rfam family "Bacterial small subunit ribosomal RNA", at positions 28 to 507 of the family's 1533-position model. The record is from RNAcentral.